Molecule: unclassified non-coding RNA, 1698 nt
Filed under: Hevea brasiliensis (rubber tree)
Lineage: Eukaryota; Viridiplantae; Streptophyta; Magnoliopsida; Malpighiales; Euphorbiaceae
Source: RNAcentral
AAGAGAACUAGCUUUACUAUAUGCUUUGGAAAUAUUAGGCCACUGAAUUAAUAGUCAGCCCAAUUGACAAACAAUUAGACAUGUAAAUAACCAUACAAAAUCAAAUCACCUAUGCUUUGAAUCCCAUCAUCAUAAGGAAAUGAAGUGGAAUGUAGCCACUCAUCACCAGUAAUGAAAUAUGAUACAGUAAAAUUAUAGACAUCAUAAGCAUCCAUUAUAUGAAAUCCUGGCCAAGUAACUCUACUAUCCACAGCUGAAACAGGUCCGUAAUUGUCAUACUCUCCAUAAUAUAGAACGUCUAAGCCUUGAUCACCAAACCAAUUUGUCCACCCAGUUGGAUCAAUAAAAUCGUCAAUGUAGAACUCAAGAAUGACUGUCCUAGAGUACACCCUCCAGGGCCUGCCUAAAUAGCUUUUAACACUUGCAGAAUUGGAAAGUACAUUAUCUGUAGCCAGAAUUGGACAAUUCUGUAUCGAAAUUCCAGUGUUCUCAUCAGGGGGUAUCUCGAGAUUGGGCAGUAAUAACGGUGAAUUGGCCAGGCAUUGGCAUUCUGGAUAUGAUCUUACAAGCCUGGAAGACUACUGCAGCCUUGCCAAAAAUGUAGUCUACGGUGCCAGAAAUGUUGCAUUCUCUAUAAAACUGUCGAAAUGAGUGAACAUAUAAUGUGUCUUGGUACCCAUUAAUGGUGCAUCUAUACAAUGCUGCAAGGUCUGCAUAUAUUCGAAGAGCAACUGCUUGGUGCUUCUAUGGUCCUGCUGUGUUUUCAAUUAUUAUAUCCCGUGCCAAGAAGCCCUCACCAGACACAGCUGCUAAAGUGACAUUCAGAAUUCAGUAUAUAUGAUAAUGCAAGUAUAAUCAAGUUUGAAUUCCAUCACCAAUCAGAACAAUAUUUGUCUUAUAGCUUGGAAUUUCUACAUUCUCUUCGUAUACCCCUUCUCUAAUAAAGAUAAUGACUCUGUCAUAACUAUUAUUUGGAGCAAAAUUUAUUGCAUCAGAGAUGGUAGUGAAAUUCCCAGUUCCAUCUGCAGCUACCAUUCAUCAACUUUACUCUGCAAAAUCCGACCAUCUUUUUUCGAAAUCCAUUUUGGAAAUCCUAAGAGGCGGCGAUUCUUGCGAACCUUUUUAGGACUUGGACUAGAGAGCAUUGAGAGAGAGUUGCUCACAUGCUUGCAUGUGUUAAUCAAAGAAUUCACUAGGAAAGGCUUCAACGGACCAGUCGCAGAAUCUAACCCCUCUAAGCAAGUGUUCUUGUUUGUGUGUGCUGCACUAAGGUAGACUCUUGCAUCUGCUAAUUUUUGAGAGCCACCUUCUUGGAUUCUUGAAACUGAUCUUUCUAAAGAAGACAAUGUGAUCUGGUGGAGUUCUUUGCAAUCUUGGAUUGCCCCUCUUUGUUUCUCAAUGAUAUUUGACCUACCAGUAGUCCAGAAUAGAUUGUUUAGCUUUCCAGCCUCAGAUAUUGCAGUUUGGAGAGAGUGGAGGAGAAAGGUGAGGAUGUUUAGAUUGAUGUUUAUAGACAUGGAGAGCUUUAACGAGUCAAAACAAGCAUCUGGGCAGCGUCUGCUGUUGCAGAAGUUUCUCAGGGAAGAGAGAUGGGUGAGUAGAGAAGUUGAAGAAGAUGUGUUGAGAGCCAAUAUGGAAGGGAAGAAGAAGAUUGAACAACAGAGCUGGAGGAGGACAAGCAGCUUUAGAAGGCAGAAA